GGAGGGAAUACCGAUGGGGGAAGGCAGCUUCCUGGCAUCAUACUGACACUGAGGCUCGAAAGCGUGGGUAGCAAACAGGAUUAGAUACCCCUGGUAGUCCACGCCGUAAACGAUGUCUACUAGUCGUUGGGUCCCUUGAGGACUUAGUGACGCAGCUAACGCAAUAAGUAGACCGCCUGGGGAGUACGGCCGCAAGGUUAAAACUCAAAUGAAUUGACGGGGGCCCGCACAAGCGGUGGAGCAUGUGGUUUAAUUCGAUGCAACGCGAAGAACCUUACCUGGUCUUGACAUAUCUAGAAUCCUGCAGAGAUGCGGGAGUGCCUUCGGGAAUUAGAAUACAGGUGCUGCAUGGCUGUCGUCAGCUCGUGUCGUGAGAUGUUGGGUUAAGUCCCGCAACGAGCGCAACCCUUGUCCUUAGUUACCAGCGGGUUAAGCCGGGAACUCUAAGGAUACUGCCAGUGACAAACUGGAGGAAGGCGGGGACGACGUCAAGUCAUCAUGGCCCUUACGACCAGGGCUACACACGUGCUACAAUGGUAGGUACAGAGGGCAGCUACACAGCGAUGUGAUGCGAAUCUCAAAAAGCCUAUCGUAGUCCAGAUUGGAUGUCUGCAACUCGGGC
RNAcentral lists this ribosomal RNA (622 nucleotides) under uncultured bacterium. RNAcentral describes it as "bacterial SSU rRNA". It matches the Rfam family "Bacterial small subunit ribosomal RNA", at positions 699 to 1317 of the family's 1533-position model. The record is from RNAcentral.